GGAUCGAUGGUGUAGUUGGUCAUCACGUCCGUCUCACAUCAUGAAAAAUAAUAUGGUUGGUACACGGGAGGUCCCCAGUUCGAACCUGGGUCGAUCCA
Molecule: non-coding RNA, 98 nt
Organism: Marasmius oreades (fairy-ring Marasmius)
Lineage: Eukaryota; Fungi; Basidiomycota; Agaricomycetes; Agaricales; Marasmiaceae
Source: the annotation of a RefSeq genome assembly